GUGCUCUGAUGCUUAUUGCACCACAUGUGUUUUUCUUUGAAACAAACUUGCUUUGGCGGUGGGCCCAGCCUGCCGCCAGAGGUCUAAACUUACAACCAAUUUUUUAUCAACUUGUCACACCAGAUUAUUACUUAAUAGUCAAAACUUUCAACAACGGAUCUCUUGGUUCUCGCAUCGAUGAAGAACGCAGCGAAAUGCGAUACGUAAUAUGAAUUGCAGAUAUUCGUGAAUCAUCGAAUCUUUGAACGCACAUUGCGCCCUCUGGUAUUCCGGAGGGCAUGCCUGUUUGAGCGUCGUUUCUCCCUCAAACCGCUGGGUUUGGUGUUGAGCAAUACGACUUGGGUUUGCUUGAAAGACGGUAGUGGUAAGGCGGGAUCGCUUUGACAAUGGCUUAGGUCUAACCAAAAACAUUGCUUGCGGCGGUAACGUCCACCACGUAUAUCUUCAAACUUUGACCUCAAAUCAGGUAGGACUACCCGCUGAACUUAAGCAUAUCAA
This 498-nucleotide ribosomal RNA is filed under the name Candida albicans. RNAcentral describes it as "eukaryotic LSU rRNA". The stretch from base 143 to 296 matches the Rfam family "5.8S ribosomal RNA". The record is from RNAcentral. Lineage: Eukaryota; Fungi; Ascomycota; Pichiomycetes; Serinales; Debaryomycetaceae.